AUCCCGCUAUUACACUUACACUGCCUCCUACUGGGCCCGACUAAUAAAAACUGGCGGGAAUAUGUGCUGUGCUAGCUUUCAUCUCUAGUGGCCGCUCUUCUCCAUUACUGACAGAUUUGACCCUCUCGCACUGCCGUAGUGAUGUACGCAUGCGCCAAGGGUAGAUCAGCGCCGAGUUUCUCUGCACUUUCCAGUGCGAGGGUUGAGCUUCCCUCACAGCAAAAAGAACAGGUUGAACACUAUAGAUAUCCGAGCUGUCUUAGGAACAAGUGGCGUUUAUUAGACUUUAUAAAGCUCCAACGCACGUGACUCCUGCUGCACAGUAAACAAAGCAGCCUCCAUUUGGCCAUGUGGCCGCUGUUCUCCACUACUGACCGCUAACAGAUUUGACCCUCUCGCACUGCCGUAGUGAUGUAGCUGCUAGUUCCCAGUAGAUAAGACGCCGUGGGUGACGUCACGAACGUAUCCGUCACGUGACAUUCGGCGCCUUCGUCAAAUGGUGGUCACGCGGGGAUUGGCUGGAGCCGUACGCUACUACAGUGCUCCACUUAGUAGUUGUUUACGCUGACUAGCUUUAGGAUUUUUCUUUGGGGCAGGAUUUUAUUCAGUCUUCCCUUGAGCCUGCGAACCUGUUUACAUACUUGCUGGUCUGUGUAAGCUCAAGGAGAACGAGCCUUCCUGUGGGUCGAUUUUAAAAGGGGAUUUCCAGAAACUGUUUUGGACACAACUUAUUAAGUAUUUUGAUUGACAUAGUGCCUAGAUGACAUCGGCAACCAGCACCUCCCACCAAUGCACACCCAGUCCUUCUCAGUGGCUGCUGCGCUCUGGAAAAAAAAAAGUGAAAAAAAGAGAUGGCCGACGGCUGCCCUGGCUUGCUGUAACAGGACAGGAAAUCAGGAGAAAGGGAGGAGCGUGAUAAGAAAUGCUAAGAUAACAAAUAAAAUGGACCCAAAAGGAGACUGGAGGCUAAGCCGAGCAGAGGAGACUCACGUUCCUUGUUAAAGGGGAAGGAAAGUCUUUUUAACUUGUGGUUGCCACAAUUUAGGCAUCCCAAGUGAUUUUAUUUACUUAACUGAAAACCCAGGCUGCUGCUCCUGUCAACAGAAAACUGCACCGGCCUAGUGUUCUUCCAGAGAUCACCACAGAGUGAUUCUCUUUUUCCACUUCUUCAGACAUAACUGCACAGUGGUGUGAAAUAGCUGUUUUUUUCUGUUGUUAAAGUAUGGCUUUUCACUCUGCUGUGUAUGCACAGCUGCGGGAAUAAAGAAUAAGCAUGAACAGGAUCCCUCUGUGUAACUCGCUUGGCCUCUGCAGUUUUCUAUUGAUAGGAGCAGCAGCCCUGGGUAUAUACAAUCACUUAGAGCUGCCUAACUUUUGGUACCUUUAAGUAAAAAACUUGCUUCUCCUUUAAAGGUAAGUAAGGGUAACCUGAUAAUCAUAUUUAUGUAAUCAGUAUAGUAUUUGCCAUACUAUAAAAUUGUUUCUAUAAACUUGGUUAUCUUUAAUUUCAGAGGGGUGUUUUUUGAAUUGUUCAUUAAGCAUUUCUACUAUAUUUUCCUUAGAUUGUGUAGUUAUUUUUAGAUCUAUAUUAAUAUAUUUGCCAUUUUCAGAGAUGUGCCUGGUUAAUGCUGACUAGUUAAAUCUCUGUAACCAGGUACCCCAAGACCAUCAUUUAUUUUUGGACAAUAACAUCAAAAAAAUUAAAAUGUAACAAAGUAAUAACAAUUUGAUGAACUGUGGCCCUACAUUGAUAGCACUGAUGUGCUUGUUUUAGAAACACUACUAAAGUUUAUACAAUCAACCUGCUGUGUAGCCAUGGGGCAAGCCAUUCAAAGCUGGAAAAAGGAAAAAGGGACAGGUUUACAUAGCAGAUAACAGAUAAACUAUGUAGAAUACAAUGGGAUUCUACAGAAGUUUUCUGUUAACUUCUAUGUCACCUGUACCUCUUCUCCUUUUUUCAGACUGAAUGGCUGUCCCCAUGUUUAUCUGUAUAAACUAUAGUAGCCUUUCUGAAGCAAACACACCAGUUUUACCAGUACAGGGCAACAGUACAUUACAUUUUAAUUAAUU
Long non-coding RNA from Xenopus laevis (African clawed frog), 2070 nucleotides. RefSeq lists it as uncharacterized. The record is from RefSeq and is a predicted model, not a curated record. The transcript has 3 exons. NCBI's taxonomy places the organism in Eukaryota, Metazoa, Chordata, Amphibia, Anura, Pipidae.